This is a non-coding RNA of Doryrhamphus excisus (bluestripe pipefish), 3901 nucleotides long. NCBI's taxonomy places the organism in Eukaryota, Metazoa, Chordata, Actinopteri, Syngnathiformes, Syngnathidae. The record is from RefSeq and is a predicted model, not a curated record.
GUGAGCUUCAGCCGGGACUGUAGGCGGGAAAACAAUGUAAAGAUGGUUCGUGUGUAGGAUACGUAAUAGUGUUCACGUUAGAGGGAUAUGCUUUAGUCAAGGAGGCCAACCGAUAGCCUUGGAACAAACAAAGGGCUUCAAAUUGCUCUGAAGUGAAACGCAUUGGCGGAGAGUUGCAUCACCGCGGCUUUUUUCCGCAAAGAAACGUAACAGAGGUAUAAAUACGUUCUUGGGCUUGGGCCUUGGGGUUCAUAAAAACGUAUAACUUUGAAUUAGUUAUUACAUAUGUGUAUUUGUAUUAUUUUAUUCAGUUAUCUUGAAUUCCCGUGUAUUCAUUUGCAUCAAAUUAAAUUCAGGUUUGUGUCAAUUAGUAAUAAAAUGGUUUCUCACAAAUAAGGACAACAAAACUCUACAGUUAAUCUCACUCAUGGAUGAUUGGAAUGGGCAGCAUAAAACCCUGAUCAGACUAUCCGUAGGAAAAACUGUUGCGACUUUCCGGAAGCCACAGCAUUUAAGAAACAAAAACCAACCCCCCCCCCCUACAUACUGAAAUGAACAGGAAGGUCAAAGUCCCCGGUAAUAAAAGCGUUUUACUUCCAGUGUGGCAACACCAUAAAUACUUAAAGGCUAUAUAACGCCUGCUUGGAGGCAAGGUGGCAGCAGAUGCCGACAGGUUAACUUGUCCAACCGCCCACAGGAGAUAAGACGACUUUGUGCACCGUAAUCCUCUCGCAUGCAGAAAGUCUGACCCGGCUGUCGCACGCACUCAGGGGGGUCAGCCUGCAGCGGAGACGUACGUUUUACUGGCAUAAUGACCGUCUCAGACUAGCAUCAGCUUGGGAGUCCUCAGACUGCCGGAUUUCAGGUGAAGAUGACUCAUCCAAGCGAAACCUGAAGAAUUUCACCAAUCGUAAAAUAAGACAUAAUAUAGACUCGCAAGCACUUGGGAGCGUAACCAAUCACAGCAGAGGAGUAAAUGAAACCGACCGUUUGGAUUCUGGAAGAUCUAGAAAGCUUUCUGUGUCUCUAAAUGUAUUCUUUUUUUUUUAAUAAUGUGAUUAUCAGGGAUGGCCGAAUAUUAUUGGUACUGAUAAUUAUCUACCCGAUGUCAGCAUAAAAAUGCGAUAUUGGUAUCAGAUUUUUCCCCGAUCAUGAAAAACGAUAUUUAAAAAAAAUGCUGUAUACAACAAAUGUGGUGUUCAUUCCACCACACCAGGAGAUACGCCAUGUUACACAUAUUGUUAGCGGCUGAUAUCUGUAUCAGUUUUCGGUAAAAAAAAAAAAGCCUUUCACACUGACAUUACCAUCGACUAGCGACGAGUGGCUAUGCAUUUGUUUGAAUGCGUUUAGUAAUCAUGUGAGGAAUAUUGUGGGAUUAAACCUGGAUUCUCUCUUUUUGAAGAGAGAAACAGGAGGGUUCUGGAGCUGCGUCUAAUCUAACAAUUAAAACAGCCACUUUUGUUUGCACAUGCAACCUAAAAUAUAACCUAUGAUAAAUGCAAGACACUGUUGCUGAAAAUCAACAUAGAUUUAUCACCGCCAGAUUAGCCAGCAUUAACACCAUUAAGACCAUGGAAUCAUCCCCAGAUAGAAGCCAAGCGUCAGCCCGUGUGACAGGACCAUGCUGCCUAUUUGAGGGCAGGGGUGUCCAACCUGCUGCCCGGGGGGCUUUUGUUUGUUUGUUUUUUUAAUUGGCCCACAGAACAUUCUAAUAAUAUAAUUUAAUAAGAAAACUUCUUAUCAAUCAGUAGUAGUUUUACAAAAAAAUUGUCAAAUAUUAAAGAGAAAAAAAAGUUGAGAAUAAUGAGAAUAAUAUGUAUGUAGUAUGAGAAUAAUUUCCUCAUUUCAGUAGCAUUAAGUUGAAAUAUUAAAGAAAGACAUUCAUUUUAAAGUGGGAAUAUUGUGGGGGUGGGGGGAACAUUAAAUAAAUUUAAAAUUAUAUUAUGGAAAAAAUAACAUUAAGAGAGCAAGAUCAAAAUAUGACGGUGAAAUAGCUGGUGGGUGGUAGAUUUUUUUAAAGCUGUCAUUUUAUGAGAAUAAUCUCAUAAUAUGAGGAAUAUUAUAUAUGAGAAAAAAUAUUUUAGUCGCAGAGUUGAGAAAUUUAAGAAAAAAAUUAAAUGUCAAUGGAAAAUGAGGUUGGAAAAAAGUUACAACAUUAUGGGAAUAAAGUCUAAAUAUUAUGGGAUGAAAGUCAUGCUAUUGCAAGAAGAAAUUGUACCAAUUUUAUGUAACAUUGUGGAAAAACUUAUAAUGUUAUGGCAAUAAAGUCAAAAUAUUAUGGCAAUAAAGUCUUAUUCAUGAAAAUGCACGGGAGGACAGUUCAAAUAGCUGGGGAAACUAAAUAAAGCUUAUGAAAAUAAACUAGUAUAUAAGUUAUGAUAAAAAAUAUUUUAGUAGAGUUAUUGAAAUAUUAAAGAAAAAUGCUUUUAAAAAGUUUUUUAAAUAAAAUUGUAAUUUUUGGCAAAAUUAGGUUGAGAAAGGUUAUUAUAUUAUGGGAAUAAAGUCAAAAUAUUAUGGCAUUAAAGUCAUAUUAUGAGAAGAAACUUUACAAAGGUUAUUUGAGAAGAAAAUGAAGGAGAUAAGCAAAAAUGAGGGAAAAAGAGCAAAGUUGAUAUUAAUAAUAGACAUUUCCACCUAUAUUACAAAGCUUAGAUGCCAUAUUUUGUUUUUAUAUACAUUUAAUUUUUCAGUAAGUGGCCCCCACUGGACACCCCCGCGUUAGAGUGAAUUUUUUUCAAAAACAGUAUGAGAAUGAUGACGACAACGAUAAGCUGUCAUGUCACACGGACCUGCAGUCUGCAGAGAACACAAGCUCGCCAAAAGCAACAACGAACACCUUGCAUGGAGCUAGGUCUGAUUGACGUCACUCCAUCUAGGAGGAAAGGAGUUAUGGGCUCAUAGCGGAAAGACCACCACCGCGGCAGCAACAGGAAGAGGCUCGAUUUUCCCAAAGUCAAGACGCGCUAUCCUUGCUAUCCUCAACACUUGGCUGCGGCGAGCCACCGUUCAAACUCUCCUCGGACCCGUGACAGCCCGUCUCCUGAGACUCCUCCGCUGACAUCUUCCCCGAGUCUGUGUCACCACUACUCUCAGACAUGCCUGGAAACAAGAGACAGGAGAUUUCAUGAAUGGGUCCUUGUGCCUCAUCAUCAUACCCGACCAGGCUCGCCCCGCUCCCAAGUCGUCUCAGGUUCCUUCUCGUAAAAUUGCAGCUUUUUAGUCAUUGUACAUGUUGAUGUUUUUCCUCAUGUUAUAACAUGUACUAUAUGGUAAACUGUGGUAAAAGGCACUGUUAGCAUGAAUUAGUUUCAGGCUGAGCAGCGACAAAUAUGCACGUUAGCACUCAGCAACGUCAUCAAAUCUUACCUUGACACAUUCCCACACAGUAUCGGCAUUUGGAACCAAGUAUCAGGUGCAUGAAAAAAAGGGGAACAAAUACGGUAUAGCGGUGUCUGUGCAGCUGGGAGAAAGUUAGAUGGUGUGUUCAAGGCCCAUGAAACAAAGUGGCACGGGUCGCAGCUCGUGACAACCAUGCAGAAAGUAUGCGACUUGUAAAUGUAUAUUAUUUUUUUCAAUAAAAUAACAGCCCAUAGUUCCACAAUUAGUGGACAUUUACAUAACAUCAAUGUAGUUAUUUACAAAUUUAUUAUAGUUAUUUGAUUUUUUGUUAUCAUUGCACCUGAAAUUUUCCUGCAACCCGGCACCCAGUUUUUAAGACAUACCUAACAUAACCAACUUUAAAUUAUUUCAUUUAUCAUUUGUACCAGGCAGGGAACCACGUAGCACAAACGUCCGCCUCUAUGGUUGUCAUCACUUUUUUCCUGUUUGCCAUCACUGGAACGGUUCUGCAGAUAUUUGUGCUACUUUUGAGCCAUAUCCCCACUAUCCCACACUUUGCAUA